UGGGGAAUUUUGGACAAUGGGGGAAACCCUGAUCCAGCCAUCCCGCGUGUGCGUUGAAGGCCUUCGGGUUGUAAAGCACUUUUGGCAGGAAAGAAACGUCAUGGGUUAAUACCCCGUGAAACUGACGGUACCUGCAGAAUAAGCACCGGCUAACUACGUGCCAGCAGCCGCGGUAAUACGUAGGGUGCAAGCGUUAAUCGGAAUUACUGGGCGUAAAGCGUGCGCAGGCGGUUCGGAAAGAAAGAUGUGAAAUCCCAGAGCUCAACUUUGGAACUGCAUUUUUAACUACCGGGCUAGAGUGUGUCAGAGGGAGGUGGAAUUCCGCGUGUAGCAGUGAAAUGCGUAGAUAUGCGGAGGAACACCGAUGGCGAAGGCAGCCUCCUGGGAUAACACUGACGCUCAUGCACGAAAGCGUGGGGAGCAAACAGG
RNAcentral lists this ribosomal RNA (429 nucleotides) under Acidobacteriota bacterium. RNAcentral describes it as "Acidobacteria bacterium partial 16S ribosomal RNA". It matches the Rfam family "Bacterial small subunit ribosomal RNA", at positions 355 to 776 of the family's 1533-position model. Lineage: Bacteria; Pseudomonadati; Acidobacteriota. The record is from RNAcentral.